AUGUACCUAAACAACAAUCAAUGAUUACCAUAUGCCUCUCCCAUAAUAAUCUUCAUAACCACUGAAAACUGUCAAAAAAUUAAACCAAAAGUCCAAUUAUUAUGGACGUUAUCUGACAUGAAGCGUUUCUUCAUUAUCAGCAGG
Long non-coding RNA from Etheostoma cragini (Arkansas darter), 144 nucleotides. RefSeq lists it as uncharacterized. The transcript has 3 exons. Lineage: Eukaryota; Metazoa; Chordata; Actinopteri; Perciformes; Percidae. The record is from RefSeq and is a predicted model, not a curated record.